Molecule: ribosomal RNA, 464 nt
Filed under: Globigerina bulloides
Lineage: Eukaryota; Foraminifera; Rotaliida; Globigerinidae
Description: bacterial SSU rRNA
Rfam family: Eukaryotic small subunit ribosomal RNA
Source: RNAcentral
ACCACAAGAGCGUGGAGUAUGUGGCUUAAUUUGACUCAACGCGGAAAAGCUUAUCUGGUCCGGACGCAGUGAGGAUUGACAGACAGUUUCAGGAGUGGUUCUUGGUAAACAAUUGAGAGAGUUGAAGUUCUUUCAUGAUCUUGUGAGAGGUGGUGCAUGGCCGUUCUUAGUUCGUGUAGUGAUAUGUCUGCCUAAUCGCGUCACGAUAACCUAUUGGUCGACAACCCAAUUAUCACAACUGCAGCAUAACUCCCCUUGGGUGGGCGAGGCUCUGUGUAGGAUAGACCUCUGAACAGUACGCAACGAACGCGAUCGUAAUCCCUUGUUGAGUGGCCAUCCUGUAAGCUGCUGGAUUAGGAACCCAGUGGUAUUAUCUCAGCCACAGAUUUUCUGGUUGUAAUGGGCCAUUUUGAAACUCGGGGAACAUCUGUGACUUUCUUUCUUAACGCAGAGGAAGGUUAUGG